Molecule: ribosomal RNA, 497 nt
Filed under: uncultured bacterium
Lineage: Bacteria
Description: partial 16S ribosomal RNA
Rfam family: Bacterial small subunit ribosomal RNA
Source: RNAcentral
GAUGAACGCUGGCGGCGUGCCUAAUACAUGCAAGUCGAGCGAACGGACGAGAAGCUUGCUUCUCUGAUGUUAGCGGCGGACGGGUGAGUAACACGUGGAUAACCUACCUAUAAGACUGGGAUAACUUCGGGAAACCGGAGCUAAUACCGGAUGAUAUUUUGAACCGCAUGGUUCAAAAGUGAAAGACGGUCUUGCUGUCACUUAUAGAUGGAUCCGCGCUGCAUUAGCUAGUUGGUAAGGUAACGGCUUACCAAGGCAACGAUGUAUAGCCGACCUGAGAGAGUGAUCGCCCACACUGGAACGGAGACACGGUCCAGACUCCUACGGGAGGCAGCAGUAGGGAAUCUUCCGCAAUGGGCGAAAGCCUGACGGAGCAACGCCGCGUGAGUGAUGAAGGUCUUCGGAUCGUAAAACUCUGUUAUUAGGGAAGAACAUAUGUGUAAGUAACUGUGCACAUCUUGACGGUAACUAAUCAGAAAGCCACGGCUAACUACGUG